GGCACAAGGGGAGACAGGGACGCUCCGAGGGGAACGCGGUCACCUCAGGUCCUCGGUGUUGAGUCAAUGGUGAGACCGGCCCAUGUGGC
Molecule: non-coding RNA, 89 nt
Filed under: unclassified sequences
Description: c-di-GMP sequence
Rfam family: c-di-GMP-II-GAG riboswitch aptamer
Source: Rfam by way of RNAcentral